GCAGGGCAUGGGGUGGAGCAUGCUUCUAGUGCCAGGUACUUGGGAGGCAGAGGCGGGAGGAUCAUUUGAGCCCAGGAAUUCUGAGCCGUAGUGCACUGUGACAAUUGGGUGUCUUUGCUAAGUUCAACAUCAAUAUGGUGACAUCCAAGGAAUGGAGAACCAUCAGGUUGCCUAAGUGAGGAGAACCAGCUCAUCUUGGAAACCGAGCAGAUCAAAACUCCUGUGCUGAUCAGUCGUGGGAUUGCACCUGUGAGUAGCCACUGCCCUGCGGCCUGGGUAACACAGGGAGAUCCCAUCUUUA
Non-coding RNA from Otolemur garnettii (small-eared galago), 301 nucleotides. Lineage: Eukaryota; Metazoa; Chordata; Mammalia; Primates; Galagidae. The record is from Rfam.